GACGAACGCUGGCGGCGUGCCUAAUACAUGCAAGUUGAGCGAUGAAGAUUGGUGCUUGCACCAAUUUGAAGAGCAGCGAACGGGUGAGUAACGCGUGGGGAAUCUGCCUUUGAGCGGGGGACAACAUCUGGAAACGAAUGCUAAUACCGCAUAACAACUUUAAACAUAAGUUUUAAGUUUGAAAGAUGCAAUUGCAUCACUCAAAGAUGAUCCCGCGUUGUAUUAGCUAGUUGGUGAGGUAAAGGCUCACCAAGGCGAUGAUACAUAGCCGACCUGAGAGGGUGGUCGGCCAAAUUGGGACUGGGACACGGCCCAAACUCCUACGGGAGGCAGCAGUAGGGAAUCUUCGGCAAUGGACGAAAGUCUGACCGAGCAACGCCGCGUGAGUGAAGAAGGUUUUCGGAUCGUAAAACUCUGUUGGUAGAGAAGAACGUUGGUGAGAGUGGAAAGCUCAUCAAGUGACGGUAACUACACAGAAAGGGACGGCUAACUACGUG
Molecule: ribosomal RNA, 497 nt
Filed under: uncultured bacterium
Lineage: Bacteria
Description: partial 16S ribosomal RNA
Rfam family: Bacterial small subunit ribosomal RNA
Source: RNAcentral